UACGUAGGGGGCAAGCGUUGUCCGGAUUUAUUGGGCGUAAAGAGCGUGUAGGCGGUUUGGUAGGUCCGUUGUGAAAACUCGAGGCUCAACCUCGAGACGCCGAUGGAAACCAUCAGACUAGAGUCCGGAAGAGGAGAGUGGAAUUCCUGGUGUAGCGGUGAAAUGCGCAGAUAUCAGGAAGAACACCCGUGGCUAAGGCGGCUCUCUAGUACGGUACUGACGCUGGGACGCGAAAGCGUGGGGAGCGAACAGG
RNAcentral lists this ribosomal RNA (253 nucleotides) under uncultured bacterium. RNAcentral describes it as "partial 16S ribosomal RNA". It matches the Rfam family "Bacterial small subunit ribosomal RNA", at positions 524 to 776 of the family's 1533-position model. The record is from RNAcentral.